GUCCUUGCCAACCUGGGUCGUUCAACUGGGAUUGACCCACAAUAUCGAGCUGCCAUUGUGAAGGGUAAUCUCUGUAAUCAAAUGACACAGCCCAUAGCUAUGGGAGAAACAAGAUCUAGACGAAAAAGCUCUCUCUGAGACGUCUCUCUUGGGAAUGGGGGACAUGCCUAACCUAACUUACAGUAUCUCCUCAUUUUCUCUCCUCCAUUCAUAAAGUACUGUUUUCUCAAGCUAUUGCAUUUAAUGGUUUAAUAUCAAGGAUCUGCCAAUCACUGAACACCACCUUGGCAGUUCACACAAUUUUUCCCAGGUUACUCAAUGGGAGCGUGGAUAGGUGUUUUAAAAUGAUCCCUAGACACUGCAUUGGGCAAAAACUAGAUAUGUGAGAAUGCAAAUAGAUACAAACCAAAAUUAACAAAACAUUCCUUUCCAAAAAAUGCCAAAGCAGGAUGUUUCCACAGCACUAGAGUUCCUGUUCUCUGUGUUUUCUCCUGCAAAAAAACCCCAAGAUUUUACGUUUUUUACAGCCUAACUUCUCGGGAAAUUUCCAUUUUGAUCUGACAGUAUAUUUGAAUGGAACACACAUUGGUUUGGAAUGGAGCUAACCUACUGAUGGUGCCUUAAAAAGCGACAACAGAGAGGAGAGAGCAGAAUGAGCUGUGCCCAUACCGUAGAUCUUUGUGUUCUUCACCCCAGGUCUCUGUUAAAGCAGGUGGGUUAUUCUCCAGCUCCAGUAAGCGAAACAAAAGCGAAGCAUGGAAUGGGCACGCGGUGCUCAAACCUGGGGAGCUCCCAUCGGCAUUUUGUACCUGCUGAGAAUCAGGGGAAUUUCAAGAGAAAUCCAGAACUUCAAGCCACUGCAGAAGGGCUGUUUCUGGAACCUGAAUUACCAUUCCUUCAGCUAACUCGGGCACCUCUGACGCUGUUGGAAGUACAGCCUAAGCUGAAUGCAAAGGACAAAAAGUACGCUGAAUUGUUUAAAACCAUAUCUACACAUUUUUAAUUUAAAAAAAUACAUGAUUAGCAGAAAAAAAAAAUGGUGUAUGAAAACAUGGUUUUGGCUUUUUAAUCCCAUUUGGCCAAGCUAAGAGCACUAAAAAAGAGAAAAGAAUUUCUCCUCGAUGCAUUUGGGUUGUCUCUCUCAUGGAAAAUGAUGUCUAAAGCCCCAGAACUGGAAGACAGUUUUAGGCAGCACUGCCUGUAAUUCUCCUCUAAAGACAGUAUAAUACAAACACCAAAAGCAGAUCAGUUUCUCCUUUUAUACAUAUAUAUGAAACCAGAAACUGGAAGGAAGUAACAUUUUACACGUGGAAAACAGAGAUCUGGCAUGAGACAUAGAGACUUCCAAGGCCAGGCUGGACCGGGCUCUGAUGGGGCACCUGAUGGAGCUGAGGAUGUCCCUGCUCAUUGCUGGGAGGUUGGACCAGAUGGUUUUUAAAAGUCCCUUCCAACUCUAAGCUAUGAUUCUACCAUUCUAUAAUAAAAGUUGAGAACAAAGUCUUCCUUACUCCA
RNAcentral lists this long non-coding RNA (1512 nucleotides) under Numida meleagris (helmeted guineafowl). Its description in RNAcentral is "lncRNA (ENSNMEG00000005392.1)". Lineage: Eukaryota; Metazoa; Chordata; Aves; Galliformes; Numididae. The record is from RNAcentral.